AAUACGUUCCCGGGCCUUGUACACACCGCCCGUCACACCACGAAAGUCGGCAACACCCGAAGCCGGUGGCCCAACCCGCAAGGGGGGGAGCCGUCGAAGGUGGGGUCGGUGAUUGGGGUG
This 120-nucleotide ribosomal RNA is filed under the name uncultured bacterium. RNAcentral's name for it is "partial 16S ribosomal RNA". It matches the Rfam family "Bacterial small subunit ribosomal RNA", at positions 1365 to 1482 of the family's 1533-position model. The record is from RNAcentral.